CCGGGCUGGGCUUUAAACAACAUCUCCAAAUACCCUGAAAUAAUCAGCUUUUUCUGUUCCUGAGUGGUUGCAUAAUAGAGACGAUCAGACGAUACGCAUACACUUCAGGGAUAUGACGAUCAUCAACGAUGUCACAAGUUCACUAAAUGCAAUGCAUUUGUCCAACACAAAUGAAUGGACAGCAAAAGAUAUAGAGAUGGACUAUCCAGCAGCCUCGAUAAGUGCGGUUGAUUAUGAAAUGGGUGUAAAUAUUUCCGAGGGAAAAAGAGAAAUGUAUGAAAUAUAUGUGGACUGCUGUUCAAAUGACGCUGAUAAGGCAAUGGAAGUCUACUUGAGCAUUAUGAGUGAUGUUGUUGGCAGUCAUGAGAAUGCAAUUGCAGUACUAGGAAGUAACAUGUAUGAUUACAACUGUUUCUUUGUUAGCCUUACGAGAGCGGAGUUGGAGAAACUUGUCGAAAUAGACAAUCAACGUAUUAGGGGAAUUUAUCCUCCUUACAAUCCCAUUUGAUUGUAUAUCAGUAGUACUGUAGUAGAGAGUUGUUUUACGGAAAUGGAGAAAUCGUGCACUUGUAUCAUCGUCUGCCUUUGGGUACCCACAUAUUUCAAAAUGGUCCAGAUCAAGCCUUCUUUACCUUAUUCUCUAUGUAUGGCAUGCCCAUACAAAGCGGUUGCAGUACUAAGUGGCAUAAGUCAUCAUUAAUAUAGAUUAAGAUUGCAUGUCACAGGUUCGAGACUUGCCAAAGGCAGGUGGAGAAAUUAUAUCUUGGGAUCCAUGUGUGAAGAUGACCAAUACCUGAAGUGGAGGAACUUGCUGUGAUUCGGCAUGCCUUGGAAUGGAGGAGGUUGUUGCAUAUUGAUUGUACGAGUGGUGUCGGUUUAAUGUGGAGUUAAAACACUUAUAGCAAGUUAUUUUGGUUGAGAUUAAAGUUUGUGGCUUUAUUGCCCCUCAAGCUCACCACUAGCUUCCGAUAUUUCUCCUAGAUUGAAAUUCUGCAAUUUGAAAUAUCCUUACUUUUUAUUUUUAUUUUCUAUAAAGUUUAUCUUUUAUUAAUAUAAAAGCCGAAA
Long non-coding RNA from Erigeron canadensis, 1065 nucleotides. RefSeq lists it as uncharacterized. The transcript is spliced from 4 exons. Lineage: Eukaryota; Viridiplantae; Streptophyta; Magnoliopsida; Asterales; Asteraceae. The record is from RefSeq and is a predicted model, not a curated record.